AUUUGUACCUAUCUAAUGUAUAUUAUUAUAAUAUUGUACCUAAUAAAACGACGUGCACAGUCUUCUCCCGACGGGGUGUCCCGACAGAGUGAUAAUAACGACAAUAAAUUUAUUCUCUGGACCGUGAAAACGCAAUCAACGUACGAAAUGAUUUCGUCAACUUUCUACACAUCGUUGAUGUUUGGUAUUGCAAUGUUGAUUUCAUGCAGCUUCGGGCGAUUUACGACGGAACAAAUCGAUCAUUACGGAAAAGCGUGCAACGCCACCGAAGAUGAUCUCGUCAUUGUCAAAUCCUACAAGGUACCAACUUCAGAUACUGGAAAGUGCUUGAUGAAAUGCAUGAUCAGCAAACUAGGACUGCUGAACGAUGAUGGUUCAUACAACAAAACUGGAAUGGAAGCGGGGUUGAAGAAAUACUGGUCAGAAUGGUCUACGGAUACAAUUGAGAGUAUAAACAACAAGUGUUAUGAAGAAGCAUUACUUGUGUCAAAGGACAUAAUAGCGACAUGCAAUUAUGCAUAUGUAGUGAUGGCGUGCUUGAACAAGCAGUUGAAACUUGACAAUUCAACUUGAAACUCACGUUUCAAAAAGGUUAAACCUUAAUAAUUUUAAUAUGAAACCUAAAUAAUAUAUCCAUUUUCAAUACAGAAGUUUAUUUUAGUUUUGCAUAUUGAAGAGGCAACCGAAUGUACUAAAACGCUCAUCAAACGUAUAUAAUAUUAUUUUUUUAUUUUAAAAUCAUACUAUUUUUACUAUUAUGAUUACUUUUUUUACUCUUAAACAUUAUGUAUAAAACAAUUUAGAAUUUAGUUAAAUAUAAUAAACACAUAUAACAUAUAUAUACAUA
RNA transcript from Aphis gossypii (cotton aphid), 847 nucleotides. RefSeq lists it as uncharacterized. The transcript is spliced from 8 exons. NCBI's taxonomy places the organism in Eukaryota, Metazoa, Arthropoda, Insecta, Hemiptera, Aphididae. The record is from RefSeq and is a predicted model, not a curated record.